RNAcentral lists this non-coding RNA (141 nucleotides) under Oryctes borbonicus. RNAcentral's name for it is "Wolbachia sRNA 46". It matches the Rfam family "Wolbachia sRNA 46". The record is from Rfam by way of RNAcentral. Lineage: Eukaryota; Metazoa; Arthropoda; Insecta; Coleoptera; Scarabaeidae.
ACUUCUAACAACACAUAAGUAUCGGCACCCUCCGCACCACACAAGUUUAAUUUAUUAUUACUAUAUAUACUGUUUAUUAUAUUACUAUAUAAUAAAUUAAACUUGUGUGGUGCGGAGGGUGCCGAUACUUAUGUGUUGUUU